This 253-nucleotide ribosomal RNA is filed under the name uncultured bacterium. Its description in RNAcentral is "partial 16S ribosomal RNA". It matches the Rfam family "Bacterial small subunit ribosomal RNA", at positions 524 to 776 of the family's 1533-position model. The record is from RNAcentral.
UACGUAGGGUGCAAGCGUUAAUCGGAAUUACUGGGCGUAAAGCGUGCGCAGGCGGUGAUGUAAGACAGAUGUGAAAUCCCCGGGCUCAACCUGGGAACUGCAUUUGUGACUGCAUCGCUGGAGUGCGGCAGAGGGGGAUGGAAUUCCGCGUGUAGCAGUGAAAUGCGUAGAUAUGCGGAGGAACACCGAUGGCGAAGGCAAUCCCCUGGGCCUGUACUGACGCUCAUGCACGAAAGCGUGGGGAGCAAACAGG